ACCCAGCAGCCACUUCCUUACUCUAAGGCGCGGUGCAGGGCAGGUGGUCCGGCCAAAUGGACGGUUGAGGCGGGAGCGGAGCAGCUUCGGAGACUUUCUUUAAGGCGGCAAGGCUGCGGAGGGCGCGGGGUGGAGGGUAGGAGUACGCGGAAAGGAAUAAAGAACUCACCUGGCAGCUGAGGAACACUGCCGUUCCUAGGGCUCCUGAACUGGAUCGCGCAGGCGUGGAGCGUCCGGGCGGGGGCGGGCCCUUAAAGAGGCCGCUGCGGAGAAUCCAGGAGCCCGCCGAGAAUCUGGGAUACCUGGGGGCGAGGGGCGGGUGCGGGUUGUGCGAUUGCAUAGAUCCCCUCAUAUCCCUGCCCCGGGUGGUGACGGGUAUCGAUCCCUAGAGGACCAGGUUCUGAGUAGAGCCGCUCUUGGAACCCAGUCUGCGGACCGGCCCAGGGACCCCCAGUUUAAGCGCGUCUCCCCGCCUCCAGCCCACGGCGCUAUGGCUCACGUCGGCUCUCGCAAGCGCUCGAGGAGUCGCAGCCGGUCCCGGGGCAGAGGGUCGGAAAAGAAAAGGAAGAAGAGCAGUAAGGACGCUCCCAGGAGCUGCUCGGCUUCUAGAUCCCAAAGCCGCAAAGCCAGCACUACCUCCUCUGGGGCGGAGGUUCUUCUAGCUCCUCUUCCUCCUCGUCCUCCUCCUCUUCCUCCAGCGAUGGCCGGAAGAAGCGGGGGAAGCACAAGGACAAGAAGAGGAAGAAGAAGAAGAAAAGGAAGAAGAAGCUGAAGAAGAGAAGCAAGGAAAAGGCCAAGGUGCAGCAAGCUGAGGCUCUGCCUGGACCUUCGCUGGACCAGUGGCACAGAGCAGCCGAGGAGGAAGAGGAUGGCCCAGUCCUGACAGAUGAGCAGAAGUCCCGCAUCCAGGCCAUGAAGCCCAUGACCAAGGAAGAGUGGGAUGCCCGGCAGAGCGUCAUCCGCAAGGUGGUUGACCCAGAGACAGGACGCACCAGGCUCAUUAAGGGAGAUGGUGAGGUCUUAGAGGAGAUCGUAACCAAGGAACGACACCGAGAGAUCAACAAGCCACCCGAGGGGAUGGUCUGGCCUUCCAGAUGCGGGCAGGGCUGCUGCCCUGAGGGCCCCCCCGCCAGAGUCUUCGGACAGUGUUGGUAGCAUGGCCUGGAGGCUGGCCUCAGGGAGGGCAGCAGGAGCUCAAUGGGUGCUAUUUGCCUUUCACCUGCAGACCGACCUCUGGCCCAGCCUCCUCUCAGAUGCAGGGGGUGGAGGGCAGAGUCACUGGCCUAGUCAGCUCUCCCAUCUUCCCAAAGAGCGCAACUUCCCAGAUAUUAAACGUUCCCUGGUUGGAGAA
RNA transcript from Sus scrofa (pig), 1351 nucleotides. It is a transcript of the gene named ADP ribosylation factor like GTPase 6 interacting protein 4, with no coding region annotated. NCBI's taxonomy places the organism in Eukaryota, Metazoa, Chordata, Mammalia, Artiodactyla, Suidae. The record is from RefSeq and is marked validated.